UACGUAGGGCGCAAGCGUUAUCCGGAAUUAUUGGGCGUAAAGAGCUCGUAGGCGGUUUGUCGCGUCUGCCGUGAAAGUCCGGGGCUCAACUCCGGAUCUGCGGUGGGGUACGGGCAGACUAGAGUGAUGUAGGGGAGACUGGAAUUCCUGGUGUAGCGGUGAAAUGCGCAGAUAUCAGGAGGAACACCGAUGGCGAAGGCAGGUCUCUGGGCCACUACUGACGCUGAGAAGCGAAAGCAUGGGGAGCGAACAGG
Molecule: ribosomal RNA, 254 nt
Filed under: uncultured bacterium
Lineage: Bacteria
Description: partial 16S ribosomal RNA
Rfam family: Bacterial small subunit ribosomal RNA
Source: RNAcentral